GGGGAGCUUUUUUACAAGUUCCUUGAUUUGCUUUAUAAGUGAGUAACAGCACCUUUCUUUCUCCAGUCCAUGCUAGGAGGGACAACAGUCACAUUUUCAUACUUAAAUGAUGUUUUCUCUAACCUUUUGGAUCCAAGCCUCUUAUAUCCUUUAUGGGUAGCCUGAAACUCUGCAAUGGUUUGAUCUGCAAAUUUGUUAAUGCCUAGCUUGUAAGUUUUGUGACCG
This 225-nucleotide unclassified non-coding RNA is filed under the name Hevea brasiliensis (rubber tree). Lineage: Eukaryota; Viridiplantae; Streptophyta; Magnoliopsida; Malpighiales; Euphorbiaceae. The record is from RNAcentral.